Molecule: ribosomal RNA, 385 nt
Filed under: uncultured Prevotella sp.
Lineage: Bacteria; Pseudomonadati; Bacteroidota; Bacteroidia; Bacteroidales; Prevotellaceae
Description: bacterial SSU rRNA
Rfam family: Bacterial small subunit ribosomal RNA
Source: RNAcentral
UGAGGAAUAUUGGUCAAUGGGCGAGAGCCUGAACCAGCCAAGUAGCGUGCAGGACGACGGCCCUAUGGGUUGUAAACUGCUUUUGUAAGGGAACAAAGUGUGGGACGCGUCCCGUUUUGCGUGUACCUUACGAAUAAGGACCGGCUAAUUCCGUGCCAGCAGCCGCGGUAAUACGGAAGGUCCGGGCGUUAUCCGGAUUUAUUGGGUUUAAAGGGAGCGCAGGCCGGGUAUUAAGCGUGUUGUGAAAUGUAGGCGCCCAACGUCUGCACCGCAGCGCGAACUGGUGCCCUUGAGUACGCACGACGUUGGCGGAAUUCGCCGUAUAGCGGUGAAAUGCUUAGAUAUGGCGAAGAACUCCGAUUGCGAAGGCAGCUGACGGGAGCGC